This is a long non-coding RNA of Anopheles merus, 862 nucleotides long. RefSeq lists it as uncharacterized. The record is from RefSeq and is a predicted model, not a curated record. The transcript has 3 exons. NCBI's taxonomy places the organism in Eukaryota, Metazoa, Arthropoda, Insecta, Diptera, Culicidae.
UGACAUUUACGUCACACUUUUCCUACUAGCAAUGAAUCUCGCGGUCUCGCGACAAGCAGGCAAAUGCAUAAGUUUGCCGCUGUGCUCGUUCGCCCAUCCACCAUAAUUAACCAUCAGCAGCAGCAGCAACUACACAGCACACAGGCGUCAUCAUCAAGCGACGGUUGUCUUUACGCGAACCUUUACGUAACGCAUUAAGCGCCCGACGAUAGUGGCAGUUAGACGAUAAAGUCAUUCUGGGAUGGAGUUGAUGGGGGGGUUACAACGAAAAAAUCCGGGUCAACUGAAGUAUCGAGUACUGGAGGCCUGUUGUCGUCUACCAUCAACCAUAUCAACCGGGGUCGGAGAAAAGAUAGGGGCACAUCACCCCCACAUGCAUUAGCGAUGAGUACGAUGACAAGAGAGCAUGCCAACAGGUGUAGUACUUGCUGAUGAUGAUGGUGAUGGUGGCUGUAGCGUGCAUCGUGGCCUGCUGCAAUAGAUGCCAUUCAACACAACAACAACAACAAAACCUCUCCAUGUUUCGGACAUCGCUAACAGCUUGCCUUGCUUCGGAAAGAGUUCCAUUAAAACUAAAAUGAGCGUAAAAUCCCGGAAGAGCUCCAGGCAAUUACGCCAGCGCUGUACGACCAUUUUACCACCCGUUUGUACCUGUACCUGUACCCACCCGCUCUUGCAGUCCCAUCAGUGUCGAGAUGUCAACGGGGUGCCACAACACUCGGUCGACUUUUGAUACUUAAUUAUACCGCGUUGAUCCAAUUAAACCAUCACUGCCUUUCCCCUUUCCGGGUUGAGAGCGUUGAUUAUUGUCAACGGAAUGUGCAAACCAUCCAAAAGGAGAAGAAGAAUAUAUAGUGCAAAG